RNAcentral lists this long non-coding RNA (6435 nucleotides) under Salmo salar (Atlantic salmon). Its description in RNAcentral is "lncRNA (ENSSSAG00000116731.1)". The record is from RNAcentral. Lineage: Eukaryota; Metazoa; Chordata; Actinopteri; Salmoniformes; Salmonidae.
CAAACCUUGGGCAUUAGUCAAGGCGAAUUGAUUAUUGAUUAUUAUCAUCAAGAUAUAAAAUUCCUUUAACAAUUGGUCCUAUUCGAGCCGGAUCUCAAACUGCCGCUGUCGUUCCAAGGAGACACCGAAACCGUGCACGGGCGGAUGAAAUAUCCGUAAAUCAAAGAUCUGGUCCUUUUCUGUGGGUUCUUUACAGGCCGGUGGCAAACUGGUACGCGACAGAGGUGGUGACGAGAUUCAACGAACAUUGAAAAACUCACCUGCAAAUUAUAAGGUUAGUAUACUUUAUUCAUACUUUUGGUGAAUAGCACCUGUAUGAUUACAUUAAAUAAGGGGUGAGUGAUAUACCUAUAGGUCUGCAUUGCAUAGUGAAAUGAGUGAUACACCUGUGUGUCUGCAUUGUAUGGUGAAAUGAGAAAUACACCUGUAUGUCGGCAUUGUAUGAUGAAAUGGGAAAUACACCUGUAUGUCUGCAUUGCAUGAUGGAAUAAGGGACACAAUUGGGUGUUGGCAUUUGAUGAGAAAGCGAUUGUUGAGAGUGUAAGGCAAAAGAGAUUGUUGAGAGUGAAAGGCAAAAGCGAUUGUUGAGAGUGUAAGGCAAAAGAGAUUGUUGAGAGUGAAAGGCAAAAGCGAUUGUUGUGAGUGAAAGGCAAAAGCGAUUGAUUAGAGUGAAAGACGGGAGCAAGUAGAGGAUUUUAAUGUACUCUGGGUGUUAGACGCUGAAAGUCGGGAAUGUUAUAGCUGGUGACCUGGCUUCAGAAGUUCGCGUGGAGAAAAAUCGGUUUUAAAGGGAAUCAAGUAUUCUGCGCGAAUGGAAGGCAGGAAUUAGUUGUAAAUUCAAAACGACGAAUUCGAAAACGACACAGGGUCCGAAAUCGACCCUGGGCAACUGUGGCCACUGCAUAAAACUAAACUAGGACUUGUGUGUGGUGAGACCUGAUAACGUAGCACAAGGGUCAAAAAACCAUAAGGGGAUAGUCGGUACCUAAAUACGGCUUUAGGUCUGAUAUCUAUGGGUGAAGUGAGACCUAAUAUGGCGGAGUGAGAUACAGGUAUUGGUGUCAACAGUUACAUGAAGCAACAGAUAAAUAGGCUGUUAACUAGGGCUUUACGACCCCUGGAAAAUAGUUUAUAGUUGCAUACGUUUGCGACCUAAUGUCUGAUCGAUAGUCCCCUCUGUAGAUAAAGUUUCGAGAGAGAUAGAGUAACUAUGCUGGGAUGAGGGAUUGCGUGUGAGGAGAAUUCUGUCAAUAAAUCGCGAGAAAAAGACAGACAGUAAAAACCUAAAAAUAAAACGGGUUGCAGUGUUUGCCUAUGAGCGAGAUAAAGACCGGGUUAGGAUAGAUACGUAUAAUCAUUCUAGCAGAACAACUCUAUAUUGCGAAUAGAAGGUUAAUAACGAAAACAUAUUGCUAGAAUCAACAGUCGCAAGACAAAAGCCGUUUGUUCUUUUUGAGCGAUGAGAUAGAAGCAAUUUGUAAUAUAGCGUGCGAAUAAUUAUUCCCCAAAUUCUAGGUUAAUAACGGUAAAUAGCAUACACAUAAAGAUUAACAGCGAGUAGACACUGAUCGUAUUUGGUUUGGAGUUGUAUAAAUUAAAGCACCUAGAAUAAAAGAUAGUUUAAGGUUCUUACGAAUAAUAUUUCUAAAAUUCUAGAUUGAGAGAAGAAGCAGAAUAAAUACGAGUGUACUCUAACAACAUGGGUAGUAAAUCCUCUAAGGAAAUCCCGGUAUUAACGGGAGAUGAACGUUUUAUGCUGGGAAAAGAUAAGAGGAACAUUUAUUUUGGGCCGAAAUGGAGGAAGAAAUACGAUUUUGAUGAAUGUUUAAAUGUUGAAAGAUUGGAAUUAAGGAUAAAACAAAUACAUAGGGUCUGUGGGGAUAAGACAGAGAAGCAGCGCACAGAAGGCCUUGACACCGCUCGUGUUUGGCUGGCAGAAGCUAGGAAGAGAGUGGAGGGGGCCAGGGAUAAGGGCGUUGCUAACAAUGAUUUGGGUAGCCAGGAGCAGACAGAGAGGAGAACAGGAUUUAGCAAACUUAUUGAGAAAAGUGGAUAGAGACACUGUAGACAGAAGGGGGAAAAACAGGGAGACGCGCUGACAAAGACGGAGAGAGGAUGUGUUUUAAUAGCGAUAGAACAGGACAUUUCGCCAGAGACUGUAAAACACCCUGUGAAGAUAGUGACCGAGUAGAACACAACUACCGAAACUGUAAACAUGAACAAUAGUGGUUCAGUGGUAGAAUUCUUGCCUACCAUGCCCGGGUUCAGUUCCCAGCCCAUGCACCAUGGGACUAAAAUUGAAUUUAAUUAUUGUUAUGUUAUGACUGGAACCAUACGGUUGUUAGUGUUUGUUUAAGAUAGAAACCGAACGUUUUGAUAGCUUGUUUAGUUUAAAUAGAAAGACAGAGUCGAUAAAGUACGUUGUUUGUGGUCUAAAUGGCCUGUUUUAAGGAUUUAUAGAGAAUGGGAGUUGUAUUUGAAUGACGGAAUCAAGGAAAAGGCAGUUACCUAAAUCUAAUGAAUUAUAAGGAGCGGAAAUUAAUAAGUGCGACAGAAUUGUGGUGAUAUACAUGAUAUUUUUUUUUAAACCCUUGGACAUUUCAUAAGACUAUAAACCAACACCUAGAGAGAUUAAAGGACGUGUCCAACGCUAAUAGUGGGUUAAUAGAACCCCCGGUAGUGGAUGGAUUUGAUGCCCCAUAUUAUCAGCAAUUAAAAAUUGUUUUCCUCAGUGGAAUGCGUCCCGAGAUAAAUCGUGCCACAAAACAGAACCUCGUAGGGUGGGGGCUAGCAGAUCUGAGGGAAGUAAGCAAGGCCAGAGAGGGAGUAGAGACAGAUACAAAGAGAAGGUCAGGCGCCCCCAGCCAGACUCAGAGCAGGAGGCUUGACUAACUAUGGAGAGCGGGGGAGCAGACACUAACUAGUGAGGGGAAGGACGUUUUUCAGAAUUUAGUUAUAAACAGCGAUUGUGAAGUUUUUGAAUUGGCUACAAUUGAUUUGGCAGUACAACAAAAACAGAACCCCUAUUUGACACUAACAGUAAUGGGAGAGAUAAUACAAUUUCUGUGUGAUACUGGGGCGUGUCUUGUUUUCUGAGUUUUAAUAAACACCUGAAAUUCUUUUGAUAGGGAAUGUUCUGGGAAACCUGGGAUACAAAAUGUAGAUAACGUUCUUAGCUUUAAUUUGUUUAAUGUAGUAAGAAACACGGUUCUGAAAGGGUGGUAUGACUUUUGACCCCUCUGGUGACUUUUCCUGUGUGGUCUGAUCAGCCACAUUGAAAAGCCAUUUGGAUGGUGAAUUUAAGGUCAUUGGUGAUAUUGAUUUUAAGGGAAUUUGGAGAACUGAUAAUUAUGAUGGAGUUAAAGUUCUUAGACACAAUUGAUAAUUUGAACCAAUGAGAAGACUAAAAGGGCAAAGCCUUAGACUAAGGGUAGGCUUCUUUAAGUCUAUCUUCCUAGAACAAUAAGGGUAAAAUAAUUUUUCGUGGUGGAGUAAAUCAGAUUAGUCAUUUUGAUCUGAUGAUGUGAUUUGAAAAUAUUUUGACCAGUAGCAGGGGUAUUUUUUACAUGAUCUAGAUACGUUUAUUUUCCCUUAGGAAGUCAGCUGUUGUUGAAUUCAGUGUAAGAGAUUUAACCUGUUAGGGCUAGGGGGCAGUAUUGACACGGCUGGAUAAAAAACGUACCCGAUUUAAUCUGGUUACUACUCCUGCCCAGUAACGAGAAUAUGCAUAUAAUUAUUGGCUUUGGAUAGAAAACACUCCAAAGUUUCAAAAACUGUUUGAAUGGUGUCUGUGAGUAUAACAGAACUCAAAUGGCAGGUCAAAACCUGAGAAGAUUCUGUACAGGAAGUACCCUGUCUGACCAUUUCUUGGACUUCUUUGCCAUCUCUAUCCAUUACAAAGGAUCUCUGCUGUUACGUGACACUUCCUAUGGCUCACAUGGUGUCUCAGAAGGCGGCAAAAAGCUGAAUCGUGGCUUUGCAGGCUCUGGCUGAAAAAAAGUAGCGCGUUCGGGUAGUGGCUGGUUACAGUACUGUGAGACUCAGGCUCGUGCCCGCGUCGACCGAAUGCUUUGUUUUCUUUCCUCUGUUUACCUAAACGGAGAUUCCCGGUCGGAAUAUUAUCGCUUUUUUACGAGAAAAAUUGCGUAAAAAUGGAUUUUAAACAGCGGUUGACAUGCUUCGAAGUACGGUAAUGGAAUAUUUAGAUUUUUUUUGUCACGAAUUGCGCCAUGCUCGCGACCCUGAUUUACCAUUUCGGAUAGUGUCUAGAACGCACGAACAAAAUGCCGCUAUUUGGAUAUAACGAUGGAUUAUUUUGGACCAAACCAACAUUUGUUAUUGAAGUAGCAGUCCUGGGAGUGCAUUCUGACGAAGACAACAAAGGUAAUCAAACUUUUGUAAUAGUAAAUCUGAUUUUGGUGAAGGCUAAACUUGCUGGGUGUCUAAAUAGCUAGCCCGUGAUGGCUGGGCUAUGUACUUAGAAUAUUGCAAAAUGUGCUUUCACCAAAAAGCUAUUUUAAAAUCGGACAUAUCGAGUGCAUAGAGGAGUUCUGUAUCUAUAAUUCUUAAAAUAAUUGUUAUGCUUUUUGUGAACGUUUAUCGUGAGUCAUUUAGUAAAUUGUUAGUAAAUUCCCCGGAAGUUUGCGGGGGGUAUGCUAGUUCUGAACGUCACAUGCUAAUGUAAAAAGCUGUUUUUUGAUAUAAAUAUGAACUUGAUUGAACAAAACAUGCAUGUAUUGUAUAACAUAAUAACCUAGGGUUGUCAUCUGAUGAAGAUCAUCAAAGGUUUGUGCUGCAUUUAGCUGUGGUUUGGGUUUUUGUGACAUUAUAUGCUAGCUUGAAAAAUGGGUGUCUGAUUAUUUCUGGCUGGGUACUCUGCUGACAUAAUCUAAUGUUUUGCUUUCGUUGUAAAGCCUUUUUGGAAUCGGACAGUGUGGUUAGAUUAACGAGAGUCUUGUCUUUAAAAUGGUGUAAAAUAGUCAUAUGUUUGAGAAAUUGAAGUAAUAGCAUUUCUAAGGUAUUUGAAAAUCGCGCCACGGGAUUCAACUGGCUGUUGCGUAGGUGGGAUGAAUUCGUCCCGCCUAGCCCAGAGAGGUUAACACAACAAGGCUGUGGGAUUGAUAUAAUAGUAUUACUAUAUUUUGUUGCCACUAAGUUUAAUAAUGGUAGACUUAUGUCAACAGGACAGGGAUAUAUGACAUCUGUAGGUGAUCCAGGAUUAUUGAGGGUAUCGAGAUACAUUUAAGUAGAUAUGCAAUAUCUAGACAGGUUGAUUUUUCUAAAACUCAGGAGUGCAACCAAGGAGACAAUGAGACAUUUAGUCAAUAUUUGGAAACAACCAUAUUAUGACAAAAAGCUGGAGACAGAUAGAAGGGCAGACAGAGAGAUCCUCCCCUGCACUGCUGAAACCUUGAGGGUUGGAGAGUAGCAGGAAGAAAGGAGGGGGGCCAGCAGGAGUAGAUAGGAAGAUAAUUUGGUUCACUUAGCUUUAGGAUAUUAAUUCAUGGAGAGACUAUCGGCUCCAUAGGCAUGUAUUUUAGUUUUGAUUUUAAGUUUAUGUCUGGUAAAUCCGCUAGGAGGAUAUUAGUAUCAUUUUGUUGAAAGUAAUUGUUACCCUAACUAAAAGGGCAAUGAAAGCUUAGUUGGUUUCAGGUGUUAGACACUGACCCAUUGCCCAGACACUAUUCUGCACAGUAGGCCGAAAUAGUAGCAUUGACUAGAACUGGUGAAAUAAGAAAGGAGAGAAAAGUUACUAUUUACACAGACAAGCACAUAGACAUUUAAAACCAUACAAAGCAGCAUAGAUAAAUCUUAAAGACGAUAAGAAACUUGACAGAGGAUUGUUAAAUGAUAGCCAAGGAUGAAGGCCCCAGGAAGAAUUGGACAUGUGGAAAAUGAAAUGGGGCAUCCUACAAGAGAAGGUCUGACAUAAGGAUAAUUUACUUAUCCUACCAAAGACAUUGUAUGGAUACGCAGCAAUAUUGAUACAUAGGCUAAGCAAUGUAUCAAGGGGAGGGAAGUAUAGUAGAGUAGUUAGGAAAGAGUGAUGGCCUAGAGGAUAAUUACUUAAAAAAAUAUAUAUAUUUUGUAAGAAGAUCCAUUCCAACAUUUGGAAUUGGACUUAUUGAACUAUUCCGAAUUGAGGGGAAGAAGGGGCAUUUAACAAUAAUAGAUAAGUAUAGCAAAUGGGUAGAAGCGUUCCCAACUUACUUGGUGGACAUGAUUAUGGUAGCUAAAAUAUUAAGUCAAGAUAUUAUCCCUAGAGUUGGUUUACUAGGAGCCAUCUCUUUAAAUGAUGGAUGACAGUUUAGCAAAUCAGGUAGAGCCUAUAGAAUGCCAGAGUUAGAGAUACCAGAACAGGUAGACAUAGAAGUUGAAGAAAUACUAGCAGAGCACAUAAGAAGACUGUUUGUUAACCAAACCCGUAUGUCCAAG